UAAGACAGAGGGCGCGAGCGUUGUUCGGAAUUACUGGGCGUAAAGCGCGCGUAGGCGGAUCUGCAAGUCCGUAAGUGAAAUCCCGCCGCUCAACGGCGGGGCUGCUUGGGAAACGGCAGGUCUGGGGACCGGUAGAGGUCGGUAGAAUUCCCGGUGUAGCGGUGGAAUGCGUAGAGAUCGGGAAGAAUACCCGUGGCGAAGGCGGCCGACUGGGCCGGAUCCGACGCUGAUGCGCGAAAGCGUGGGGAGCAAACAGGAUUAGAUACCCUGGUAGUCCACGCCGUAAACGAUGGGCACUAGGUGCCGGGGGGAGCGACCCCUUCGGUGCCGCAGCUAACGCGUUAAGUGCCCCGCCUGGGGAGUACGGCCGCAAGGCUG
This 378-nucleotide ribosomal RNA is filed under the name uncultured bacterium. RNAcentral describes it as "bacterial SSU rRNA". It matches the Rfam family "Bacterial small subunit ribosomal RNA", at positions 521 to 896 of the family's 1533-position model. The record is from RNAcentral.